Molecule: ribosomal RNA, 485 nt
Filed under: uncultured bacterium
Lineage: Bacteria
Description: partial 16S ribosomal RNA
Rfam family: Bacterial small subunit ribosomal RNA
Source: RNAcentral
GGUGAACGCUGGCGGCGUGCUUAACACAUGCAAGUCGAACGAGAACGGAAUAUAGCUUGCUAUAUUUGUCAGCUAAGUGGCGCACGGGUGAGUAAUGUAUAGAUAACCUGCCCUUAAGAAAGGAAUAACAGUUGGAAACGACUGCUAAUGCCCUAUGUGCCUUUAAUACAUAAGUAUGCAAGGGAAACGCUUUAGUGCUUAAGGAUGGGUCUGUAUGGUAUUAGCUUGUCGGUGAGGUAAUGGCUCACCAAGGCUAUGACGCCUAACUGGUUUGAGAGGAUGGUGAGUCGCGCGGGAGCGGGGACACGGGCCAGACUCUUACGGGAGGGAGCGGUGGGGAAUAUUGCACAGUGGACGAAAGUCUGAUGCAGCAACGCCGCGUGGAGGAUGAGACACUUCGGUGCGUAAACUCCUUUUAUAUAGGAAGAUAAUGACGGUACUAUAUGAAUAAGCACCGGCUAACUCCGUGCCAGCAGCCGCGGUAA